This 73-nucleotide transfer RNA is filed under the name Camelus bactrianus (Bactrian camel). It matches the Rfam family "tRNA". From Rfam's summary of the family: Transfer RNA (tRNA) molecules are approximately 80 nucleotides in length. Their secondary structure includes four short double-helical elements and three loops (D, anti-codon, and T loops). Further hydrogen bonds mediate the characteristic L-shaped molecular structure. tRNAs have two regions of fundamental functional importance: the anti-codon, which is responsible for specific mRNA codon recognition, and the 3' end, to which the tRNAs corresponding amino acid is attached (by aminoacyl-tRNA synthetases). tRNAs cope with the degeneracy of the genetic code in two manners: having more than one tRNA (with a specific anti-codon) for a particular amino acid; and 'wobble' base-pairing, i.e. permitting non-standard base-pairing at the 3rd anti-codon position. The record is from Rfam by way of RNAcentral. Lineage: Eukaryota; Metazoa; Chordata; Mammalia; Artiodactyla; Camelidae. RNAcentral also lists the same sequence under 2 other names.
GAGGGUGCAGCUCAAGUGGUAGAGCAUGUGCUUAGCAUGCAUGAGGUCCUGGGUUCAAUCCCCAAUACCGCCU